CCUACGGGCGGCAGCAGUGGGGAAUAUUGGACAAUGGGGGGAACCCUGAUCCAGCCAUGCCGCGUGUGUGAAGAAGGCCCUCGGGUUGUAAAGCACUUUCAGCGAGGAAGAACAGCUGGUCGUUAAUACCCAGCGGGCAUGACAUCACUCACAGAAGAAGCACCGGCUAACUCCGUGCCAGCAGCCGCGGUAAUACGGAGGGUGCGAGCGUUAAUCGGAAUUACUGGGCGUAAAGCGCGCGUAGGUGGCUUGAUAAGCCGGUUGUGAAAGCCCCGGGCUCAACCUGGGAACGGCAUCCGGAACUGGUAAGCUAGAGUGCGGGAGAGGGAGGUAGAAUUCCAGGUGUAGCGGUGAAAUGCGUAGAGAUCUGGAGGAACACCAGUGGCGAAGGCGGCUUCCUGGACUGAUACUGACGCUGAGGUGCGAAAGCGUGGGUAGCAAACAGGAUUAGAUACCCGUGUAGUC
This 465-nucleotide ribosomal RNA is filed under the name Vreelandella stevensii. Its description in RNAcentral is "partial 16S ribosomal RNA". It matches the Rfam family "Bacterial small subunit ribosomal RNA", at positions 338 to 795 of the family's 1533-position model. Lineage: Bacteria; Pseudomonadati; Pseudomonadota; Gammaproteobacteria; Oceanospirillales; Halomonadaceae. The record is from RNAcentral.